UACGGGGGGAGCAAGCGUUGUUCGGAUUUACUGGGCGUAAAGGCGCGUAGGCGGCCAGCGCAAGUCAGUUGUGAAAUCUCCGAGCUUAACUCGGAAAGGUCAACUGAUACUGCGCGGCUAGAGUGCAGAAGGGGCAACUGGAAUUCUCGGUGUAGCGGUGAAAUGCGUAGAUAUCGAGAGGAACACCUGCGGCGAAGGCGGGUUGCUGGGCUGACACUGACGCUGAGGCGCGAAAGCUAGGGGAGCGAACGGG
This 253-nucleotide ribosomal RNA is filed under the name uncultured bacterium. Its description in RNAcentral is "partial 16S ribosomal RNA". It matches the Rfam family "Bacterial small subunit ribosomal RNA", at positions 524 to 776 of the family's 1533-position model. The record is from RNAcentral.